UCCUACGGGGCGCAGCAGUAGGGAAUUUUCGUCAAUGGGCGCAAGCCUGAGCGAGCAAUGCCGCGUGAACGAGGAAGGUCUUCGGAUCGUAAAGUUCUGUUGAAGGGGAAAAAGAGCGGAGAGAGGAAAUGGUCUCCGAUUGAUAUUACCCUUCGAGGAAGUCACGGCUAACUACGUGCCAGCAGCCGCGGUAAUACGUAGGUGGCGAGCGUUAUCCGGAAUGAUUGGGCGUAAAGGGUGCGUAGGCGGCCUGCUAAGUCUGGAGUGAAAGGUACCGGCUCAACCGGUACAGGGUCUGGAAACUG
This 305-nucleotide ribosomal RNA is filed under the name uncultured bacterium. Its description in RNAcentral is "bacterial SSU rRNA". It matches the Rfam family "Bacterial small subunit ribosomal RNA", at positions 337 to 635 of the family's 1533-position model. The record is from RNAcentral.